UCUAAUGUGGCAGAAUAUGCUAUGAAUUUAAGAUUCCUACAUAAAUAUUAAUAUUUCUUUAGAA
Molecule: transfer RNA, 64 nt
Filed under: Notocera sp. CPL-2004b
Lineage: Eukaryota; Metazoa; Arthropoda; Insecta; Hemiptera; Membracidae
Description: tRNA-Leu
Source: RNAcentral